UACGGGGGGGGCAAGCGUUGUUCGGAAUUACUGGGCGUAAAGGGCGCGUAGGCGGCCUGCUAAGUCGGACGUGAAAUCCCCCGGCUCAACCGGGGAACUGCGUCCGAUACUGGUGGGCUCGAAUCCGGGAGAGGGAUGUGGAAUUCCAGGUGUAGCGGUGAAAUUCGUAGAUAUUCGGAGGAACACCAGUGGCGAAGGCGGCUCACUGGUCCGGUACUGACGCUGAGGUGCGAAAGCGUGGGGAGCAAACAGG
This 253-nucleotide ribosomal RNA is filed under the name uncultured bacterium. RNAcentral's name for it is "partial 16S ribosomal RNA". It matches the Rfam family "Bacterial small subunit ribosomal RNA", at positions 524 to 776 of the family's 1533-position model. The record is from RNAcentral.